This 70-nucleotide transfer RNA is filed under the name Ocypode stimpsoni. RNAcentral's name for it is "tRNA-Gln". Lineage: Eukaryota; Metazoa; Arthropoda; Malacostraca; Decapoda; Ocypodidae. The record is from RNAcentral.
UUAUUCGUUGAUGUAUAGAGCAUAAAAAGUUUUGAUCUUUUAAGGAGUGGUGCAAUUCCGCUACGUUUAA